This 77-nucleotide transfer RNA is filed under the name Granulosicoccus antarcticus IMCC3135. Its description in RNAcentral is "tRNA-Pro". It matches the Rfam family "tRNA". From Rfam's summary of the family: Transfer RNA (tRNA) molecules are approximately 80 nucleotides in length. Lineage: Bacteria; Pseudomonadati; Pseudomonadota; Gammaproteobacteria; Chromatiales; Granulosicoccaceae. RNAcentral also lists the same sequence under 3 other names. The record is from RNAcentral.
CGGGGUAUGGCGCAGCCUGGUAGCGCAUCUGCUUUGGGAGCAGAGGGUCGUAGGUUCGAAUCCUGCUGCCCCGACCA